This 274-nucleotide ribosomal RNA is filed under the name uncultured bacterium. RNAcentral's name for it is "partial 16S ribosomal RNA". It matches the Rfam family "Bacterial small subunit ribosomal RNA", at positions 523 to 796 of the family's 1533-position model. The record is from RNAcentral.
AUACGGAGGGUGCGAGCGUUAAUCGGAAUUACUGGGCGUAAAGCGUACGUAGGCGGUUUGCUAAGUCAGAUGUGAAAGCCCCGGGCUUAACCUGGGAACUGCAUUUGAUACUGGCAGACUAGAGUAUGCUAGAGGGGGGUAGAAUUCCUGGUGUAGCGGUGAAAUGCGUAGAUAUCAGGAGGAAUACCAGUGGCGAAGGCGGCCCCCUGGAUCAAUACUGACGCUGAGGUACGAAAGCGUGGGGAGCGAACAGAAUUAGAUACCCGCGUAGUCC